CAUAAAAGAAACAUUAAGACUGAGA
RNAcentral lists this non-coding RNA (25 nucleotides) under Cricetulus griseus (Chinese hamster). Lineage: Eukaryota; Metazoa; Chordata; Mammalia; Rodentia; Cricetidae. The record is from RNAcentral.